CCGCCAGAGAACUACAAGUGAAAAACUUGAAACUCAAAGGACUUGACGGUGUCCCAUAUCGACCUAGAGGAGCCUGUCCUAUAAUCGAUACCCCCCGUUCCACCCAACCUUAACUAGCAAAUAUCAGCCUAUAUACCGCCGUCGAUCAGCCUACCCUAUGAAGGUCUAAUAGUAGACAAAAUAGCCCAACCGCUAAUACGUCAGGUCAAGGUGUAGCAAAUGUUAAGGAAGAGAUUGGCUACAUUUUUUAAUAUAAAAAACACGAAAAGCACUAUGAAACCGUCCAUGAAGGUGAAUUUAGUAGUAAAAU
This 310-nucleotide ribosomal RNA is filed under the name Iberolacerta monticola (Iberian mountain lizard). RNAcentral describes it as "partial 12S ribosomal RNA". It matches the Rfam family "Bacterial small subunit ribosomal RNA", at positions 869 to 1344 of the family's 1533-position model. The record is from RNAcentral. Lineage: Eukaryota; Metazoa; Chordata; Lepidosauria; Squamata; Lacertidae.